Molecule: ribosomal RNA, 775 nt
Filed under: uncultured bacterium
Lineage: Bacteria
Description: bacterial SSU rRNA
Rfam family: Bacterial small subunit ribosomal RNA
Source: RNAcentral
UGAGUAACGCGUAUCCAACCUGCCCAUCACUUGGGGAUAACCUUGCGAAAGUAAGACUAAUACCCAAUGACGUCUCUAGAAGACAUCUGAAGGAGAUUAAAGAUUUAUCGGUGAUGGAUGGGGAUGCGUCUGAUUAGCUUGUUGGCGGGGUAACGGCCCACCAAGGCGACGAUCAGUAGGGGUUCUGAGAGGAAGGUCCCCCACAUUGGAACUGAGACACGGUCCAAACUCCUACGGGAGGCAGCAGUGAGGAAUAUUGGUCAAUGGACGAGAGUCUGAACCAGCCAAGUAGCGUGCAGGAUGACGGCCCUAUGGGUUGUAAACUGCUUUUAUAAGGGAAUAAAGUGAGUCUCGUGAGACUUUUUGCAUGUACCUUAUGAAUAAGGACCGGCUAAUUCCGUGCCAGCAGCCGCGGUAAUACGGAAGGUCCGGGCGUUAUCCGGAUUUAUUGGGUUUAAAGGGAGCGUAGGCCGGAGAUUAAGCGUGUUGUGAAAUGUAGACGCUCAACGUCUGCACUGCAGCGCGAACUGGUUUCCUUGAGUACGCACAAAGUGGGCGGAAUUCGUGGUGUAGCGGUGAAAUGCUUAGAUAUCACGAAGAACUCCGAUUGCGAAGGCAGCUCGCUGGAGCGCAACUGACGCUGAAGCUCGAAAGUGCGGGUAUCGAACAGGAUUAGAUACCCUGGUAGUCCGCACGGUAAACGAUGGAUGCCCGCUGUUGGCCUGAACAGGUCAGCGGCCAAGCGAAAGCAUUAAGCAUCCCACCUGGGGAGUAC